Molecule: ribosomal RNA, 253 nt
Filed under: uncultured bacterium
Lineage: Bacteria
Description: partial 16S ribosomal RNA
Rfam family: Bacterial small subunit ribosomal RNA
Source: RNAcentral
UACGGAGGGUGCGAGCGUUGUUCGGAAUCAUUGGGCGUAAAGCGCGUGUAGGCGGCCCGAUAAGUCCGCUGUGAAAGUCCAGGGCUCAACCCUGGGAUGCCGGUGGAUACUGUCGGGCUCGAGUCCGGAAGAGGCGAGUGGAAUUCCUGGUGUAGCGGUGAAAUGCGCAGAUAUCAGGAGGAACACCAAUGGCGAAGGCAGCUCGCUGGGACGUGACUGACGCUGAGACGCGAAAGCGUGGGGAGCAAACAGG